AAGUGUACGCCUUUGUGUCUAUGCUUCGAGUGAUCAAUUGGUCGAGUAGAUGAUUCAUCCUCUCCUAUCUGUAUGCUCAGAUGUCUGGUUGAGUGGGGAAUGAGGAGGAUACGAAGACGCUUUGAUAGCUCAACAAGUCUUGUAGAGUUGGUUACCCUUGGUCGAGUAAAUGGGUCGAGUAGAGGAUCGAGUAGGAGGGACGAGUAGAUCAAUCUUCUGCUUCAUCUGAGGUUGCCUUGAUCGAGUAAGAGGGUCGAGUAAACUACAGCCUCCUCUGUAGCAUCCUGGAUCGAGUAAAGAGGUCGAGUGAAUUGAUGCCUCUUCUGUAGCUGCCAGGAUCGAGUGAAUGGAUCGAGUAGAGUCCUUUUAAGCUCCUUCUGCACCUGAAAACACA
RNAcentral lists this small RNA (394 nucleotides) under Arabidopsis thaliana (thale cress). RNAcentral's name for it is "ATSL202710". The record is from RNAcentral. Lineage: Eukaryota; Viridiplantae; Streptophyta; Magnoliopsida; Brassicales; Brassicaceae.